GGCCCAGAUCGUUUACCGUGAAAAAAUUAGAGUGUUCAAAGCAGGCAGAUUCAAUUUUCUGCCACCGAAUACAUUAGCAUGGGAUAAUGGAAUAGGACCCUGUCCUCCUAUUUUCAGUUGGUUUUGGCAGCGCGAGGACUAGGGUAAUGAUUAAUAGGGAUAGUUGGGGGCAUUAAUAUUUAAUUGUCAGAGGUGAAAUUCUUGGAUUUAUGAAAGAUUAACUUCUGCGAAAGCAUCUGCCAAGGAUGUUUUCAUUAAUCAAGAACGAAAGUUAGGGGAUCGAAGACGAUCAGAUACCGUCGUAGUCUUAACCAUAAACGAUGCCGACCAGCGAUUAGGAGACGUUGAAUACAAAACACCACCAUCGGCGCGGUCGCCCUUGGCGUUCGUGUUCACGCACGGGCGCGAGGGCGGCUUAGCCCGAUGGCACCGGUGAAUGACUCCCCUAG
Molecule: ribosomal RNA, 449 nt
Filed under: Acanthamoeba genotype T4
Lineage: Eukaryota; Discosea; Longamoebia; Acanthamoebidae
Description: SSU rRNA
Rfam family: Eukaryotic small subunit ribosomal RNA (bases 1-394)
Source: RNAcentral